This 70-nucleotide transfer RNA is filed under the name Nasutitermes octopilis. RNAcentral describes it as "tRNA-Gln". RNAcentral also lists the same sequence under 2 other names. Lineage: Eukaryota; Metazoa; Arthropoda; Insecta; Blattodea; Termitidae. The record is from RNAcentral.
UAUAUCUUGGUGUAUGGUGCACGGUAGCUUUUGAUGCUUGACGGGGAUAGUUUGAUUCUGUUAGAUGUAA